RNAcentral lists this ribosomal RNA (300 nucleotides) under Penaeus indicus. RNAcentral's name for it is "partial large subunit ribosomal RNA". The record is from RNAcentral. Lineage: Eukaryota; Metazoa; Arthropoda; Malacostraca; Decapoda; Penaeidae.
UGAAAGGGCCGCGGUAUAUUGACCGUGCGAAGGUAGCAUAAUCAUUAGUCUUUUAAUUGAAGGCUUGUAUGAAUGGUUGGACAAAAAGUAAGCUGUCUCAAUUAUAAUAAUUGAAUUUAACUUUUAAGUGAAAAGGCUUAAAUAAAUUAAGGGGACGAUAAGACCCUAUAAAGCUUGACAAUAAUUUAAUUAUACUAUCAAUUGUUAGUAUAACUUGGUUUUAAUUAAUAUUUGUUGCGUUGGGGCGACGAGAAUAUAAUAGGUAACUGUUCUUAAAUAUUUAAUAACAAAUAUAAUAUG